Molecule: unclassified non-coding RNA, 253 nt
Filed under: Hevea brasiliensis (rubber tree)
Lineage: Eukaryota; Viridiplantae; Streptophyta; Magnoliopsida; Malpighiales; Euphorbiaceae
Source: RNAcentral
GGGCAAUACAAGGGCUUAGGGCUUAGGCCUGUACCUAAUCAUUGAAGAACAACAAGCUUUCCUCUCUGCAGUUUUUCUACAGAGAGAGAUUUCCUCUCUUUUCGUUUUUCUUCCCUGAGGCCUAGUCUUUCUUCACUGCUGAAGUAGUUGGUUCUUUCCUUGCCCCAUCCAAGCAGGGGACGGCCUCCUUUCCCUAACCCGGAGAGUAGGUCUCUCCCUUCCCAGUUCCAGAGACGUUGUAUAUACAUUUUUU